AGUAUUAAAAACAUAUUUAAUGAACAGACACUUCAAUCAAAAUUCAGCUGAAUGGAUAGAGCUCUUUCCCCACCAAUGGUUCAGAGGUCUAACCCUGAUAAACAGAGAAACAGAGUGUAUAUGCACGUUAACUCGUCUCCUCUCCCUUCAACCCCCCCCCCCUCGCAGAUGUUGUCCGAAGAAGAACCCCAAGGGCAGGUUCCCAGCCUUUUCGUGGGAAGAGGGUUGAGAUUAUAUGCAGGUUUAGUGAUACAAGACAACUAAAAGAACCAUAUGAUAAAUUUCCACAACAGCAGUCACAAAACGUGUGACUUGGUGUGUAGUUGAGAUUAAAACGUAGUCCAAGUUUGAAAAUUAAGUGUGGCCAAAGUAAGGUGGCCCGAAGUAAAGGGGGGGGGGGUCACUCGACGGCCUCUGAUUAUCACAUAUUCUCCAAGAAAAUCCAGAGUAUAUAAAAUAAAGUAUUAUAAUAAAGUCCUGAACUUACUGACCAUUUUUCAGUGAUCCAGCUUUAAAAACAUUCUCUGUAGAUGACGACUGUCUCUGACCUUUCUACACACCUGCCACUGUGUGAGAGAAAAACAGCAUCUAUUGAACCAUUGUGUCCUGUGCGUUGUUCUCCUUUGACCCUGCAGGCUGUUGGACGGUUUCCACGACUUGAACAAAAUGAUUUGCCAGAGAUACAAGAGAGCGAACGGCAUCUCUCGUGACCUGCUGCUGAGGACUUUACACCUGGAGCCGCAGUACGCUGAAAGCAGACCUGCACCCUUGACAGCCAAUCGCCGCCUCUCCCCCGGCCUCCCGUCGGCCAAUCGGCACGGUCAGAACGCUGCCGCUAAGCGACGGCUGUCCUACGACUACAACAGAAACGUCACGGAGUAACUGUGCAGGCUCAGCUCUGGUUGGACUGUGAUUCAUCCACGUUUGCCUGAAGAACUGCAGGGUUUUAACCCCGUCACGGCGGCACAGACCAACGGGUUUCUAAAGACUGUGGAUUGACAACAUGUGUACUAUCUGCUACUCAAAUACUGACUGACCUUUUGACUCUUUGCACUCUCCCUGGUUAUUUAAACCUGAGCCGGUGAGUAGAUGCAACCUGGAUGAAAAGUGAACGACGGUUGUAUUUCAGAAGUUGUCUCCUCCAGCUCCUGUUGAUGUAUUCUGGUGGAGUGUUUCCAUUAUGUGUCACCUUGUUCACCACCACCACCCUCCUAUUUUCAUUUUCCUUGUCGAGCCUGAUAACAGCAGGUUGUCAAAGAUUAGGUACUCGAGGAAGAGUCAAGAACAUCAUAAUGUCACCACGUCAACCAGGAAUUUUUCCUUCCUGUUCAUUUAUUAUCUGAAAUUGUACCUUAUUAGAUAUAUGUUCUCCGUGUCAGAGCUGCUGUUUUUGCCAGAAGUUGUCUCGUUGUUUGAGCUGGUGCAGUGCCCAUUGGCGGCGUCCCAGUUCAGAGUGGACUGAUUGCUUGACUCCAGAUCCCGGAAGUGCUGCGAGGAAGUGAAGAAGAGCAUGGUUGUAAUCUUAGUAUAUCCAGCAUCCUGCAGGAUAAGUGACCUGCGGUCAGCAUGCCACGGCCCCGUACAGCCCCGCUGUGGGCGACAUGCUAACGUCCGCAGAGCCCUGAAGAUCCGCCCCCCGCUGCUACUGAGCACCAAGGCUAAUUUAUUCAAAGUUUUUUAUCUUUUAAAGAUCCUGGUGUCCAAUUUGCACCAAGGUCAACAAAGCACUCUGUGGGGACCCCAGCAAAACCCCCACCAAGUGUGAAGUAGAUCAGAGAAGGGGUUCUCGAGAUAUGCAAAGGUGAGCAUGGUUUGCUAACUAGCUUAUCUGUAUUGUAUAGGCAAACAUUUCAACCCUGCUUCUCCUUCUCUUUUCUUUUGCCUUUUUGCAAAAUAUGUUUCUUAUCCAGAAUAUGAAUUUUCUCUUUGGCUCCACCAAACAGUUGUCUAACUCAACUCAAUGAUAUUUCUUCUUCCGGAGCAGCUCUGCCUUCUUUGAGCUAUUCUGCCAAGUCGGAUAUAUCGGGGCUUUCUGGGAAAACCACUUUGUCAGUUAUACUUUCAGAUACAGAGACAUAACUCUUCUGCCUGCCUCCUAGAAAUUGUUUUUUGCUUACACUCUAUUAACACAGUGGCUCAUAACCGCAGGUACUCUUUAUUCAAACUCGUAACAUCUCAACUCCCGACAACAGAAACCUGCUGUACUGAUGCUGAGAUCUCUCUACAAAUAAUGUCAGCUGCAUGUCAAAGCUCAUUUCACCUCCCUUCUUGUUUUUCAAUGGAACACGGAUCAUGUGAUCUUGGAGAGCAUUGUUUUUAUUAAUUGCAGAAUGCUGAAGAUGGAUCCGUAUGGGAUGAGUCUUACAUUUAUUUCCUUUUACAUUUUGCAGAGUGAUGCAUGUGCUUUCAUUGUGUAUCUGUCACAGAAUAGCCAAUGACAGAAAUGAGUCCGAAAAAAAUGAAACAAGUUUGUCUUCCAGUUAGUGCCAACAGGACCACCGAUGAAAGUGCCAAUGUUUACGAGGAGCGAAGCAGACAGGUUCAGGAGGAAACGUCGCCUCUCGUUUCUCAGACACGCUGAAGUGGACUCAAACUCUAAAUUUCAGCACGUUGAUGUUUCUAUUUUUUCCUUUGUCUUUCUGUCCGGCUUCCCUCUCUUUCAGUACACUCACAGUUGAGUCCACUUCACGGACAAAACUUGAAUCUAGCUGCCAAUCGAAACAGUUGUUUUUUUAUGAGAAUAUUGUUCACAUUAUGACGUGUCGAUGAUGCACUGUACAAUUUUAAUUUAGACAUACUAUCACAUAUUGUCAACUCAGAAGGUUUAUUUCGGUCUGUUGUAUAUUUUACUUCAUGAUGAUUCAGAAACGUGUGUGUGUGUGUGUGUGUGUGUGUGUGUGUGUGUGUGUGUGUGUGUGUGUGUGUGUGUGUGUGCCAUGUGUACAAACUACAAAUUGCUGAAAAAGAACAAGAUGACUAUUUUCUGAUCUGUUCAAACAACGAAGGAGGAGUUGUCGCCUUGGUAACCGAUGUAAUAAAACGAUACUGUGUGA
This is a long non-coding RNA of Anarrhichthys ocellatus (wolf-eel), 3053 nucleotides long. RefSeq lists it as uncharacterized. NCBI's taxonomy places the organism in Eukaryota, Metazoa, Chordata, Actinopteri, Perciformes, Anarhichadidae. The record is from RefSeq and is a predicted model, not a curated record. The transcript has 2 exons.